Molecule: unclassified non-coding RNA, 1124 nt
Filed under: Caenorhabditis elegans
Lineage: Eukaryota; Metazoa; Nematoda; Chromadorea; Rhabditida; Rhabditidae
Description: Non-coding transcript of protein-coding gene B0250.7a
Source: RNAcentral
GUUGUCUGUCAGUCUCUCUUCUGGCCAAUGAACGCGUCGCCUCCUCCCAUUUUUCUACAAAAGCCUCCGUUUCUCUCGCAGAAAACUCACAAUCGUCGCAUUCACAUGGGUCCCUUCCAUUCCCGCCUCUCCGGUGUUGCAGGUGAAAUUGUUUCGCCUGGGCACCGGAAAAAAAACUUGGGUAAAAUGGGACGUCGUAUCCGCAUCCCACUCGACUAUGCCGAGAGACAUGGUUACAUCAAGGGACUCGUGAAGGACAUCAUCCACGACCCAGGAAGAGGAGCCCCACUUGCUAUUAUCGCUUUCCGCGACCCAUACAAGGGAUGGGCCGGCUACGGAGAUCGCUGAGACUGCCAAAGAAGCGAAGAGAUCGGACUCAUUGAGCCCAGAUGUACCAGGCGGUUCAAAGACUGAACAGUGGCAGACAAACGGGUACCUGCUGCUUCAAUGUAAAAUAUCUGGGAUCAGUGGAACUGUACGAGUCUCGUGGGAUGCAAGUGGACUGUUGGUAGAGGACUGUUGGUAGAUCAGACGAAGGUUCCCAGUCGCAAUCACAAAAAUCAGAAAAUAAUCAGGAAAUCGAAGGGUUCUUGUGCCCAAUGUGUAUGGCAGAGCUUGGUGGACCUGAUGAACUUACUGUUCAUUUUGAAAAAGACCAUUCUGACACAUCAACCAACAGAAAUCAUCCCGAGUACACUCCCCCUCAGCAGUCUCCACUUGCAUUUUCUACAAAAGAUCAAGAAAUUGAAGAACUUCGGAUAAGAGUUGACGAAGAGAAACGUUUUGCUGAACGGAUAAAAGAAGAAAUCGGCAACUACGCCAACGUCAUCGCCCACAACGCAGACACCAAGAAGACACGUAUCCGCCUCCCAUCCGGAGCCAAGAAGGUCGUUCAAUCGGUCAACCGCGCCAUGAUUGGACCCCGAAUGCAUAACCAAAAAGUGGUAAUCCACGAUUCAAGAAAGAUCGAUGUCGUCUACACGAAAAAUGGACAGAAAGUACUUCAUUUUACAAACUUUAAAAUACAGCUCCUAAGCCGCGUGAGAAGAGAUGAGCAUUUUGUGACGACCAACUUCAUUCUUCGGAUUCGAAUGAAAAACGGGGUAGAUGGGGAAUGACCACCA